UUCUCUAUGCUUUUAUUAACAUUUUUGUUCGUAAAAAGUUUUGAUGCCUGAAUUACCUAUAGAGUUCACUCAAUACCAUACUAAUACAAAUCUUGUUAUAUAGUAAAAUAUAUGUUGUAGCUUUGGUGGACAGGACCAAGAUUAUAGAGUAAACUGUGAUAAUAGGCUUCAUUUUGUUGUGGUUUUGCAAUGAAUUAAUUUAGUAUGUGUAGAUAUUUCAAGGAAAAAUAGUUUGUCAUAUUAAUGACAUAGCUGAAAAAUAGAAAUUGACAAUUUUUUUAAUUAUUCAGACCUGUAGUUUAUAUUAAGUAAAGGUGAUUCAAGGGUGAUGAAAUGUUACAGAGAUUUUGGCUUACAAUAGUAAACAAAAUACUUAUGUUCCUGAUUAUUUAAGAAUAAUAUGCUAUUUUAAAAAUAUGGAAACCGCUUUCUCCCCCCGGAGCCGUGCUGGUUCUGCAGCUCUGUGGCAAGCCGCGGAAUUGGGGUUCUGUCCCACAGGAUGGGGUUUGUGAAAGUUGUCAAGAACAAGGCCUACUUCAAGAGAUACCAAGUGAAAUUCAGAAGGCGAGAGGGCAAAACUGACUACUAUGCUCGGAAACGAUUGGUAAUCCAAGAUAAAAAUAAGUACAACACACCUAAAUACAGAAUGAUUGUUCAUGUAACGAACAGAGAUAUCAUUUGUCAGAUUGCUUAUGCCCGUAUAGAAGGAGAUAUGAUAGUUUGUGCAGCUUAUGCUCACGAACUCCCAAAAUAUGGCGUGAAGGUUGGCCUGACAAAUUAUGCUGCAGCUAUUGUAUGGGCCUGCUGCUGGCCCGCAGGCUUCUUAAUAGGUUUGGUAUGGACAAAAUUUAUGAAGGCCAAGUCAAAGUGACUGGAGAUGAAUACAAUGUGGAAAGUAUUGAUGGUCAACCUGGUGCCUUCACCUGUUGCUUGGAUGCAGGACUUGCCAGAACUACUAACGGGAAUAAAGUUUUGGGGGCCCUAAAGGGAGCUGUCGAUGGAGGCUUGCCUGUCCCUCACAGUACCAAAUGGUUCCCUGGUUAUGAUUCAGAAAGCAAAGAAUUCAGUGCUGAGGUACACCGAAAGCACAUCAUGGGACAGAACGUUGCAGACUACAUGCGUUACCUGAUUGAAAAAGAUGAAGAUGCUUACAAGAAACAAUUCUCUCAGUGCAUAACGAACAGCGUAACUCCAGACAUGAUGGAGGAGAUGUAUAAGAAAGCUCAUGCUGCAAUACGAGAGAAUCCAGUGUAUGAGAAGAAGCCUAAGAAAGAAGUUAAAAAGAAGAGGUGGAACCGUCCCAAAAUAUCACUUGCCCAGAAGAAAGAUCGGGUAGCUCAGAAGAAGGCAAGCUUCCUUAGAGCUCAGGAACGAGCUGCCGAGAGUUAAACCAAACCACAAUUUUCUAUCAAGAUUUUUCAGAUAAGACAAUAAUAAACUUAUUGAACAAGCAAAAAAA
Molecule: RNA transcript, 1459 nt
Organism: Cervus elaphus (red deer)
Lineage: Eukaryota; Metazoa; Chordata; Mammalia; Artiodactyla; Cervidae
Gene name: 60S ribosomal protein L5-like
Exons: 1
Source: RefSeq, a predicted model, not a curated record